This 497-nucleotide ribosomal RNA is filed under the name uncultured bacterium. RNAcentral describes it as "partial 16S ribosomal RNA". It matches the Rfam family "Bacterial small subunit ribosomal RNA", at positions 28 to 507 of the family's 1533-position model. The record is from RNAcentral.
GAUGAACGCUGGCGGCGUGCCUAAUACAUGCAAGUCGAGCGAACAGACGAGGAGCUUGCUCCUCUGACGUUAGCGGCGGACGGGUGAGUAACACGUGGAUAACCUACCUAUAAGACUGGGAUAACUUCGGGAAACCGGAGCUAAUACCGGAUAAUAUAUUGAACCGCAUGGUUCAAUAGUGAAAGACGGUUUUGCUGUCACUUAUAGAUGGAUCCGCGCCGCAUUAGCUAGUUGGUAAGGUAACGGCUUACCAAGGCAACGAUGCGUAGCCGACCUGAGAGGGUGAUCGGCCACACUGGAACUGAGACACGGUCCAGACUCCUACGGGAGGCAGCAGUAGGGAAUCUUCCGCAAUGGGCGAAAGCCUGACGGAGCAACGCCGCGUGAGUGAUGAUGGUCUUCGGAUCGUAAAACUCUGUUAUUAGGGAAGAACAAAUGUGUAAGUAACUAUGCACGUCUUGACGGUACCUAAUCAGAAAGCCACGGCCAACUACGUG